Nerophis ophidion (straightnose pipefish) is the source of this 558-nucleotide long non-coding RNA. RefSeq lists it as uncharacterized. The record is from RefSeq and is a predicted model, not a curated record. The transcript has 3 exons. Lineage: Eukaryota; Metazoa; Chordata; Actinopteri; Syngnathiformes; Syngnathidae.
GGCGGAAGGACCAUCUGAUGAAGACAAGUCGGGAGGACCAACUGUUGGACGAGUUACCCAAUUCCAUCCAGAGAUUGUCCUGUCUUGGAAGCAAUGUCACUGAUGAAACAUUCGGCUGACGUGGACAUGGUCAUCAAAAAGAUGAAGCUGACAUUUGCCCAUCGGCAUAACAUGGUCCUGGACCAACAGCAGUCAAGCAACAUUCUAUCUUAUUUUCCUCGUUUUAAAGACAUCAAUGGCUUGGUUGAACAGGAUUUUGUUCUAAUGUUUGGAAAGGAUUAAUCGUGCAUGUUUCUGGAGAAGUGGCCAACCACAUCCAAAAAGAAGAUCUUCCAACAAUGCAGAAAGCUUCCCUCCAUCUUUGAGCUUGAGGAACUCCUGAUGGCAGCUGACCCUCCUGAGGAUGGGGCUGAAGUGAACGUUGACUUUGGUUGGGACAGCGACCUCUCAUCAAUUUUGCUGCUCUUACACUUGAUCCCACCGACUGCUCUAGGUCGGAAGAGGCCAGGAGAAGUUUCUGCAUCCCGGGCUGACAAGCAUCUUGUGGUCUUCACAAAG